CAGACCAGGGUGCUCAGGGCUUUACCCAGCCCAGGCUUGCUGACCUUCUAGGAUGGAGACUGUGCAGGAUCUCUGCUCAUUCCUUUUAAGGACUGGCAUACACCCCAAUAUCCAGGAUAUUACCCACCAUCUGUGACAAAAGUGACAUUACCAGACUGGAGAGAGGCCAGGGGAUGGUCACUUAGGUGGCAAAGGGCCUUAAGCCUGUGUCCUGUGGGGCAGCUGAGGUUGGCUAGCCAGGAGAGGAGAGGAGAGGGCUUGGAGGAUGUUGAAUCACAACUGACCACUACUAUGAGAAGUUCUAGGGAAGGUGCACCCAGCUGCCUCUCAGAGGUACACAGUGAAACAUCAAGAGGCAGGUAACACACAUUGUCCAACAUGGAAUGCCAUUUAGUGUUUGCGACAAUUACCACACAGAAGACUUUCAUGAAGCCUGCCAAACUACACAAGACUACAGAAAUUCCUCUUAUGGUAUGUUCUCGCCUGGAAAAACAAAGAUAUGCCCAAGGGCUUGCUCUGCUGAAGAUUUUGAGGCAACUUUUGAGGCAUGGCAACAAACAGAGUUUAUUCCAGACCUUAUGAUCUGUACUUGCUACUAGGUUUAUAACUGUUUAGACUCAUGGAUUGCAAUGGGA
Passer domesticus (house sparrow) is the source of this 635-nucleotide long non-coding RNA. RefSeq lists it as uncharacterized. Lineage: Eukaryota; Metazoa; Chordata; Aves; Passeriformes; Passeridae. The record is from RefSeq and is a predicted model, not a curated record. The transcript is spliced from 3 exons.